This 563-nucleotide long non-coding RNA is filed under the name Lynx pardinus (Iberian lynx). Lineage: Eukaryota; Metazoa; Chordata; Mammalia; Carnivora; Felidae. The record is from RNAcentral.
AAAUCCUCCAAGAUUUGACUUCCCGCGGAAACCAGUAGCAGAGCGGGUGGAGGAGGCGAGGAUGCGGCUGGUACACACCGAGUUUCCUUGGCAAGGAAAAUCGAUGGUAGGAAAGGCUGUGGGGAUUUAACUGGGGUUGAGGGUGGAGGCUCGCAAAACCACCACCGGUGCGUGGCAUUGCCAGUGCGUGCGCUUGGACCUCGCACCUCGGGAUAGUGCUCCUGACCUGCUGAGUCCGCGACGCGCCACCUCUCCUUCCGAAGUUUUAGGCCGCCUCACAGCGAGCUGCAAGAGCGGGCCGGCCGUGGCGGGCUCCUUGAACCCAAGUCCUGUCUGUCCGCUAAGUCCUGGGAGGAGAAUUUUGGCCUCACCAGAGGAAGGAGCACAAGGGGAGCGAGCGGUCCGAGAGGAAAUAGUUGGUGAAAUAUUUACAGAAGACGCUGGGAAACCGAUUUAAUUCCUGGUGGACAGUGGUGCUUCUGAUUCCCUCAGUCUGUGUCUCUCACCUACGACGCUCUCAAUCCUUGGCCUAGAAAAAAAAUCCGUAAACUUACUUCAUUAUA